GACGAACGCUGGCGGCGUGCUUAACACAUGCAAGUCGAACGGACAGGCCCUGCUUUUGUGGCGUGCUCGAUUGGCGAACGGGUGAGUAACACGUGAGUAACCUGCCCUUGACUUUGGGAUAACUUCAGGAAACUGGGGCUAAUACAGGAUAGGAGAUCCUGCUGCAUGGUGGUGGUUGGAAAGUUUCGGCCGUUGGGGAUGGAAUAGCGGCUUAUCAGCUUGUUGGUGGGGUUGUGGCUUACAAAGGGUUUGAAGGCUAGCCGGCCUGAGAGGGGGACCGGCCACAUGGGUACUGAGAGACGCCGCAGACGCCUACGGGAGGCAGCAGGGGGGAAUAUUGCACAAUGGGCGGAAGCCUGAGGCAGCAACGCCGCGUGCGGGAUGACGGCCUACGGGUGGUAAACCGCUUUCGCCUGUGACGAAGCGGGAGUGACGGUAAUGGGUAAAGAAGCACCGGCUAACUACGUG
RNAcentral lists this ribosomal RNA (468 nucleotides) under uncultured bacterium. RNAcentral's name for it is "partial 16S ribosomal RNA". It matches the Rfam family "Bacterial small subunit ribosomal RNA", at positions 28 to 507 of the family's 1533-position model. The record is from RNAcentral.